AACCUUAUGGACCUGCGGGCGUAUACCUGCGGAAGGAUCAUUACCGAGUUAUACAACUCAUCAACCCUGUGAACAUACCUAAAACGUUGCCUCGGCGGGAACAGACGGCCCCGUAACACGGGCCGCCCCCGCCAGAGGACCCCCUAACUCUGUUUCUAUAAUGUUUUUUCUGAGUAAACAAGCAAAUAAAUCAAAACUUUUAGCAAUGGAUCU
This 213-nucleotide unclassified non-coding RNA is filed under the name soil metagenome. Its description in RNAcentral is "partial contains 5.8S ribosomal RNA, internal transcribed spacer 2, and large subunit ribosomal RNA". The record is from RNAcentral.